RNAcentral lists this unclassified non-coding RNA (389 nucleotides) under soil metagenome. RNAcentral's name for it is "partial internal transcribed spacer 1". The stretch from base 1 to 119 matches the Rfam family "5.8S ribosomal RNA", at positions 35 to 154 of the family's 154-position model. The record is from RNAcentral.
GAUGAAGAACGCAGCGAAAUGCGAUACGUAAUGCGUAUUGCAGAUCCAGUGAAUCAUCGAGUCUUUGAACGCAUAUUGCGCCCCCCGGCACUCCGGGGGGCUUGUCCGACCGAGCGCCGCAUCGCCGCCCAGGCCUCGCUAGGCGAGGCCCGGUGUUGGGGCAUGCGAGACGCAGCAGCCCUCAAAUCCAGCCGCGGCCGCCGCAGCGCGGGCCCCCAGGCGCAGUACGUCCACCUAACGAACGGUGCUGCCGCCUCGAGGGGUUCCUGCGACGGCCCGCAACCCUUUUCCCCCGGCUCGUCCUCGAGCAGGCAAAGGAAAACACACCCGGUUGGCCUCGGGUCGGACAAGGCUACCCGCUGAACUUAAGCAUAUCAAUAAGCGGAGGA